GGUAAUAUGCCUGAUAAAAGGAUUAUUUUGAUGAAAUAAAUUAUAUAUUUAAAAUAUUGUUACUU
Molecule: transfer RNA, 65 nt
Filed under: Thyreus decorus
Lineage: Eukaryota; Metazoa; Arthropoda; Insecta; Hymenoptera; Apidae
Description: tRNA-Ile
Source: RNAcentral